This 317-nucleotide non-coding RNA is filed under the name Cavia porcellus (domestic guinea pig). The record is from RNAcentral. Lineage: Eukaryota; Metazoa; Chordata; Mammalia; Rodentia; Caviidae.
GCUGGGCAUGGUAGUCCCAGAUGUGAGAGAGGCCGAGGUGGGAGGAUCACUUGAGUCCAGGAGUGUGGGCUGCAGUGCAGUAUGCCGAUCGGAUGUCCCCACUAAGUUCAACAUCAAUCUGGUGACCUCCCAGAAGUGGGGAACACCAAGUUGCCUAAGGAGGGGUGAACUGGUCCAGUUUGAAAAUGGAACAGGUCAUUAAACCCCUAAAUUGCCCAGUGUGGGUUGAAAUUUGAUCCCCCUGCCUCAGUCUUCCAGAGUGCUGGGAUUAUAGAUGUGGCCACCACACCCUGCUCUCCACUUACUCCCCACCACAU